This is a long non-coding RNA of Rhipicephalus sanguineus (brown dog tick), 390 nucleotides long. RefSeq lists it as uncharacterized. Lineage: Eukaryota; Metazoa; Arthropoda; Arachnida; Ixodida; Ixodidae. The record is from RefSeq and is a predicted model, not a curated record. The transcript is spliced from 2 exons.
ACACAUGGCAAAGGUUUCAAGCAUUCGUAUUGUUGCGGUUAUGGCAGCACUUACUUUCGUUUUGUCUAUAUUACCAGAUGGUAUACUUUGCGACGAUCCAGAACCUAUACGUCUCCAUUUCGGGUCUCCUAAAUUAAAGCUUCCUAAAAAGCCUCCUGUUAAUAAUGGAGGUCCGCAGACCGAUGUCUCACCAAAAAAACCUUCUUUUCGAGACACAGUAACUACUGUAUCUGGUGUAGUCACGAGAGUUAUGAAUGCUGCGGGUGCCUAAGUAAAGAUCCAUGGUGAAACGGUUGCUUGGCCACUUAGGCAGUGCGAAAUAAUGCUUGCUACAACGGUGCACUCCUAAACUGCGGAAUGGACAAUAAAAAUUUCACCUUUCACCCAUGA